Molecule: non-coding RNA, 27 nt
Filed under: Mus musculus (house mouse)
Lineage: Eukaryota; Metazoa; Chordata; Mammalia; Rodentia; Muridae
Source: RNAcentral
UGGAAAGUUGAGUGUAGACUGUGUUGC